UCAAACUUGGUCAUUUAGAGGAAGUAAAAGUCGUAACAAGGUUUCCGUAGGUGAACCUGCGGAAGGAUCAUUAACAAGUCCGUCCCUGUAUGUGGGACAUUUGUUCCGUGUGCAUGUCACGUGCACAUUGAUACAUUUCUGUCGAUUGUCUGAUUAUUUUGACCAAUUAAAUGACUUUUAACAAUGGAUCUCUAGGCUCCUUCAGAUGUGUAUAAGAGACAGUCAAACUUGGUCAUUUAGAGGAAGUAAAAGUCGUAACAAGGUUUCCGUAGGUGAACCUGCGGAAGGAUCAUUAACAAGUCCGUCCCUGUAUGUGGGACAUUUGUUCCGUGUGCAUGUCACGUGCACAUUGAUACAUUUCUGUCGAUUGUCUGAUUAUUUUGACCAAUUAAAUGACUUUUAACAAUGGAUCUCUAGGCUCCUGCAUCGAUGAAGAACGCAGC
Molecule: unclassified non-coding RNA, 443 nt
Filed under: uncultured fungus
Lineage: Eukaryota; Fungi
Description: partial contains small subunit ribosomal RNA, internal transcribed spacer 1, and 5.8S ribosomal RNA
Rfam family: Eukaryotic small subunit ribosomal RNA (bases 1-73)
Source: RNAcentral